This is a long non-coding RNA of Sorghum bicolor (sorghum), 2534 nucleotides long. RefSeq lists it as uncharacterized. The transcript is spliced from 2 exons. Lineage: Eukaryota; Viridiplantae; Streptophyta; Magnoliopsida; Poales; Poaceae. The record is from RefSeq and is a predicted model, not a curated record.
CCAUUUUAGUAGACCAACUUCGAGCUCUCAGCCUCCAGCAGUCCAGAUAGAGUUUGGGAAGAAGGAGAGCUUAGAAAGAGUAGAGAAGAGGAGAGAAAGUUGGGAGAGUGAGCAAGAGCUCAAGACCUAGUGAAAGAGGGUUAGUGCUGUAAUAAUUUAUAGAGAGAACUUAGUGGAAGUGUUGUCCAACUAGGGAUUAAGAAAUUUAAAAUCAAGGGGAGGUUCUGUCAAAAUCCAAACUAGCAACUAGACUUAAUCUUGAAAGAACGACUGACUUCUAGACGGCUAACCACUAACCUUUGACUAACCCCCUUGCACUAGUGUUUUUCUCUAUAAGAAUUUAUUGUAGGAUGAAGAGCUGCGCAAAGGGAAUCGCCAACAAGGUCUCGAGAAGGACCACAAGGAGCUCAUCCUGGUACACCUCGUCGAGGGCUGACUCCGACAUGAGCAUCGAUCCUCCUGCCGAUGCUCAGCCAUCAUCUUCAUCAGCUGCACAAUGGGUUCUCCUCACAGCAAAUCACCUUGCCUUGAGGGAUGCAAGAGAAAAGAACACCUAUAAUAAAUUAAGGAGCAGGAACUUUGUCCACACACCGGUUUUCGAUGAGGUGUUCCUCUAUGAUACAGGUAUGGCAACUGAACUUCACACUAUUUUCCAGUUUGUUGGUUGGAGUUUUUUUGCAUCUAUUACUAAGUUAGGGUCAAAGCUCUUAACCAUAGAAUUUCUAUGCACCCUUCAACUCACCCAGAUAGGAGUCUAUUUUAGGUUGUUUACCUAAGAGUUCUGUUUAGCAUGGAGAGUUCUUAGCGAUCUUUUAGGCUUUCCUUCAAAUACACAUCUAGAUCUAACUCAAGCCUUAAAAGAUUGUGACACCCAUAAGUUCUAGAUUGAAAUAUCUAAAGAGCCUUUCUUUCAUGGCAAUCGUACUCGGGACAUAGAACAUCCUAAGUUGAGGUUCUUACAUAAAUGGUUGGGUACAACUUUCUUUCCCCAAGUUGAUGCUAGUAAGAUUAUAGCUAUAGAUUUACAAUUAAUUUAUGCAGUAGUAAAGAAAAUAAGGGUGUCGUCUAUCCAUGCUUUAGUAGAUCAUUGGUUAAGCAUACCUGAAUAUAAAGUAGGAGAUGUAGCAAUUUGUUCUUUUGUUAUCCUGUUUAGCUGUUAAGCUUAAGUUACUUGAAGGUGCCUCUGUGGAUUUUAUUGAUACACAUAGACAAACUUAUGGGUAUGAACAUUUUAAUCAUGCGCACCUUGUAAAGAAAAUAAAAGGGGAUCUAUACAUGACAUAUGGGGACACCAAGCUUUAGUAACCUAACCCAGAGAUGGCACUGUAUUCUGUCCAAACUCUGCACAUUGAAUUUCAGGCACAACCAGUGAACAGGAGAGGAGCUCAGGGGGAGACUUCUAAGAGGGCACCUAAGAGGACAGCCUCUGAGAGAUUUGCUUGUCAACACGAGCCAGUCUGGCUUGGUGCUGACACAACUCAUGAAACACCGAUGCACACCAGCUAUGAUGAAUGGUAGGCACGCCAACACCGUGCACAGAAUCUUGGGAUGUAUCCUCUGUUCCAUCCUGACUACCAUCCCUAUGGGUAUUAUCCACCACCACCAUUCAUUCCCACAAGAGAAGGUCCCUCAAGAGAAGCUCCAAGGCUUUCAUUCAGCACAUAUGGAGAAAGGACAAAAGACGAGGAACAAGGCUUUGAGCAAGGACACAGGUCUAAUGCUUCUGGGUUCUUCUACACCCAGCAACAUUACAAUGAGCAAAUGGCAUUCCAAAACUACAUCCACACCUCUCUUGCUCACAAUGAGCAAAAUUGGAAUGACCAGUGUCAGUGGAACCAAACCACCACUCAGACGUUGGCAUCUAUUCAAGAAGGGUAAGAUCAAGCCAACAGCACCCUAAGUGACAUCUUUGUGUUCCUCCAGAUCCCUAAAGAAGACUAGCUUGGGAGAGGACCCCCAUUACCAAGGGGUUUAUCAGAAUAAUAACAAAAGGAGGUCCAUAUGUCAGAUUUACAUAGAGAGGAGACCCGAACGUCAACUCCAGAAGACUGCAGAAGACUCAUGAAGGCAUGCCCUAAAACCUAGGGCCCACCUGCCAUAGGCAGGGGCGGGCGCCAAGGCCAGGGUGGGGCAGCCGCCCGGGGGGUCUGGCCAAUCAGAGCCAACCUCGUGGAUUCUACCUCCACCAACUUUGAGGAUCAAUCUUAAGUGCACGUUUAUGUUGGUUUGAUCGAAGGGCUGUGGUGCUUCCUAGGGGGCUAUAAAUACAAGCCUACCCCCCUGGAAGAGUGGUCAUAAUUGAGAGAGAAAAAUAGAAUUAUAUUUUUAUUCUCAUCUGAGAAUUAGAGGGAGCCAUUAGAGCCAAGGAUUAGAGAUAGAUUAGCUACUCCUAAUCUUCAUCUUUUGCAUAGGUUAGAUUAGAUCAAGGAAGAGUCGGGCGUCUGUGCUCGGAAUUUCCAGAUCUUCAUCAUCAAAGAUUGGUAUAUUAUCUCUCUUUUGACUUUAUUCUAAUAUCAUUAUGUUCUUAUUUAUUA